Molecule: ribosomal RNA, 305 nt
Filed under: uncultured bacterium
Lineage: Bacteria
Description: bacterial SSU rRNA
Rfam family: Bacterial small subunit ribosomal RNA
Source: RNAcentral
UUGCCCUACGGGGCGCAGCAGUGGGGGAUAUUGCACAAUGGGGGGAACCCUGAUGCAGCGACGCCGCGUGGGUGAAGGAGUGCUUCGGCAUGUAAAGCCCUAUCGGCAGGGAAGAAGCAAGACGGUACCUGACUAAGAAGCCCCGGCUAACUACGUGCCAGCAGCCGCGGUAAUACGUAGGGGGCGAGCGUUAUCCGGAUUCACUGGGGGUAAAGGGAGCGUAGACGGCAAGCAAGCCAGGGGUGAAAGCCCGGGGCCCAACCCCGGGACUGCCCUUGGAACGGCAUGGCUGGAGUGAGGGAGGG